RNAcentral lists this unclassified non-coding RNA (315 nucleotides) under plant metagenome. RNAcentral's name for it is "partial contains 5.8S ribosomal RNA, internal transcribed spacer 2, and large subunit ribosomal RNA". The stretch from base 1 to 105 matches the Rfam family "5.8S ribosomal RNA", at positions 50 to 154 of the family's 154-position model. The record is from RNAcentral.
GAACUGCGAUAAGUAAUGUGAAUUGCAGAAUUCAGUGAAUCAUCGAGUCUUUGAACGCACAUUGCGCCCCCUGGCAUUCCGGGGGGCAUGCCUGUCCGAGCGUCAUUGCUGCCCUUCAAGCCCGGCUUGUGUGUUGGGUCGUCGUCCCCCCCGGGGGACGGACCCGAAAGGCAGCGGCGGCACCGUGUCCGGUCCUCGAGCGUAUGGGGCUUUGUCACCCGCUCGAUUAGGACCGGCCGGGCGCCCGCCGGCGUCAAACCCCAAUCUUUCUAAGGUUGACCUCGGAUCAGGUAGGGAUACCCGCUGAACUUCAGC